Molecule: unclassified non-coding RNA, 432 nt
Filed under: soil metagenome
Description: partial contains 5.8S ribosomal RNA, internal transcribed spacer 2, and large subunit ribosomal RNA
Rfam family: 5.8S ribosomal RNA (bases 1-120)
Source: RNAcentral
GAUGAAGAACGUAGCGAAAUGCGAUACGUAAUGUGAAUUGCAGAAUUCAGUGAAUCAUCGAAUCUUUGAACGCAUAUUGCGCUCUCUGGUAUUCCGGAGAGCAUGCUUGUUUGAGUAUCAGUAAACACCUCAACUUCCAUAUCUUUUUUGAAAUGGGAGUUGGACUUGAGUGAUCCCAACGCUUUUCCUCACCGAAAAGUGGCGGGUUACUUGAAAUGCAGGUGCAGCUGGACUUUUCUCUGAGCUAUAAGCAUAUCUAUUUAGUCUGCCUAAAAAACAGAUUAUUACCUUUGCUGCAGCUAACAUAAAGGCGAUUAGUUCUUGUGCUGACUGAUGCAGGAUUCACAAAGACGGCUUCGGCCGACUUUGUAAACUCGAUCUCAAAUCAAGUAAGACUACCCGCUGAACUUAAGCAUAUCAAUAAGCGGAGGA